Molecule: long non-coding RNA, 715 nt
Organism: Silurus meridionalis
Lineage: Eukaryota; Metazoa; Chordata; Actinopteri; Siluriformes; Siluridae
Exons: 5
Source: RefSeq, a predicted model, not a curated record
CGUGCCUGUCCACACUCCAUCCACUGCUUAAAAGCACAUGUUCCAUUUAUUUCCUCUGGAUCCUGGAGAAAAUAUCUGCAAUUUUAAUGACUACUCAGACCCGAAAAGGCUUUGUACUGUAGACGUCAAACUUAUGCAUUACGAUUCACAUUCGUACAUAGAGGUGACGACACAGGAAAAUAAGUGCAGCCAUCAAUAAUCCUGACGUGCUCUGCACCCAGUCGGGCAAAAUGGAUACUGAGAGGAAAGAAAAAACUGAAAGAGUCUGGCUUUCGUUGAACACCGUAUUGGAAGUGACGCAGGUCAAGAAGUACUGGAAGAAAAGUGCACACUGCAAUGCGCCAACUUUGAUGAUGUAGGAGUUGGAGACCCUCUUACAACCUACCGCUGCCCCCCCUCUCCUUCUUUCAUGUUCAGUGCCAGCUUGAAAUACCACCUCUUAUAAACCAUCCAAUUUGCAAGAUGUCUCCGUCUCUUUUCUCCUGUUUUUCAAAACAACUUGUCAACCAGCAGCCGAGUCUCCAGCACCCGUGUCCUCGCGACUAUUCAAAGCGUGGUACUCUACAGAGAAGACUCUCAUUCAGAUCCUUCCUCUGAGAACUGGCAGCUGUGCUCAGCUUUGUGAUCUUCUGCUUCACUGCAACCGCAGUGGAAAUCUCAGGGUCGAGCUCAAUCCUCCAUGUAAUCCUCUACUGACCAGUAGUCCAAUAGACCA